RNAcentral lists this long non-coding RNA (803 nucleotides) under Physcomitrium patens. RNAcentral describes it as "long non-coding RNA (PPAT_LNC007265)". Lineage: Eukaryota; Viridiplantae; Streptophyta; Bryopsida; Funariales; Funariaceae. The record is from RNAcentral.
CAACGGCUUAUUCAUUAAUUAUUGAGGUUUAAAUCUACUAUAGGAAUUAUUAGGAUUAAUUUUAGGAUUAGGAUUCGAUUAGGAUUUGGUUUAGGAUUUAGGGUUUGGAUUAGAAUUUGAUUUAGGGUUUAGGAUUUGAUUAGGGUUUGAAUCAAGGUUUGGUUAGGGUUUAGUUAGGGUUUGAUUUAGGAUUUGGUUGGAGUUUGGUUUAAGGUUUGUUUAGGGUUUGAUUUAGGAUUUGGUUUAGGAUUUGAUUAGGGUUUAGGCUUUAGGGUGUGAAUUAGGGUUUAGAUUAGGAUUAGGAUUUGAUUAGAAUUUGGUUUAGUUUUUAGGGUUUUUUUAGGGUUUGGUUUAGGAUUUGGAUUAGGGUUUGGUUUAGAGUUUAGUUAGGAUUUUAUUAAAGGUUUAGGAUUUAGUUAUUGUUUUAUUUAGGGUUUUGGGUUUGAUUUAGGAUUUGGUUAGAAUUUGGUUUAGGAUUUGGUUGGGGUUUGGUUUAAGGUUUGUUUAGGGUUUGAUUUAGGUUUUAGGAUUUUAUUAGGAUUUAAGAUUCAAUUAGUUUUGGCCUAAAGUUUUAAUGAAGUUCAAUAGGAUUUUAACUAGAAUUAAAUUAAGAUUGAAUUGAGAUAUAUUUCAUUGAUAUUUGUGAUUCUUUUAAUAUUUAUUUAAGAAUUCUUAUUCUUUUUUUAAAAUUUCUUUGAGGUUUUUUUGAAUUUUAUUAAGCUUGCUUAGUAUUAUUAUGGUCUAAUUAGAGCAUUGUUAGUAUUCUAUUAGAAUUAGAAUUUUGUUAUUGCAAUUUCUAUUCA